GACGAACGCUGGCGGCGUGCUAACACAUGCAAGUCGAACGGUAAGGCCCUUCGGGGUACACGAGUGGCGAACGGGUGAGUAACACGUGGGUGAUCUGCCCUGCACUUCGGGAUAAGCCUAGGAAACUGGGUCUAAUACCGGAUAGGACUCCUGCCUGCAUGGGUGGGGGUGGAAAGCUUUUGCGGUGUGGGAUGGGCCCGCGGCCUAUCAGCUUGUUGGUGGGGUGAUGGCCUACCAAGGCGACGACGGGUAGCCGGCCUGAGAGGGUGACCGGCCACACGGGGACUGGAGUACGGCCCAGACUCCUACGGGAGGCAGCAGUGGGGAAUAUUGCACAAUGGGCGCAAGCCUGAUGCAGCGACGCCGCGUGAGGGAUGACGGCCUUCGGGUUGUAAACCUCUUUCAGCACAGACGAAGCGCAAGUGACGGUAUGUGCAGAAGAAGGACCGGCCAACUACGUGCCAGCCGCCGCCGUAA
Molecule: ribosomal RNA, 477 nt
Filed under: uncultured bacterium
Lineage: Bacteria
Description: partial 16S ribosomal RNA
Rfam family: Bacterial small subunit ribosomal RNA
Source: RNAcentral